AUCUUUCUAGUACAGCUUAGUACAUGUGACUUCCAAUCAUACGGCCCCCGUUAAACUCCGGGGAAAGAUA
RNAcentral lists this transfer RNA (70 nucleotides) under Callopanchax monroviae. RNAcentral describes it as "tRNA-Gly". It matches the Rfam family "tRNA". From Rfam's summary of the family: Transfer RNA (tRNA) molecules are approximately 80 nucleotides in length. Their secondary structure includes four short double-helical elements and three loops (D, anti-codon, and T loops). Further hydrogen bonds mediate the characteristic L-shaped molecular structure. tRNAs have two regions of fundamental functional importance: the anti-codon, which is responsible for specific mRNA codon recognition, and the 3' end, to which the tRNAs corresponding amino acid is attached (by aminoacyl-tRNA synthetases). tRNAs cope with the degeneracy of the genetic code in two manners: having more than one tRNA (with a specific anti-codon) for a particular amino acid; and 'wobble' base-pairing, i.e. permitting non-standard base-pairing at the 3rd anti-codon position. Lineage: Eukaryota; Metazoa; Chordata; Actinopteri; Cyprinodontiformes; Nothobranchiidae. The record is from RNAcentral.